UACGAAGGGGGCUAGCGUUGCUCGGAAUCACUCGGCGUAAAGGGUGCGUAGGCGGGUCUUUAAGUCAGGGGUGAAAUCCUGGAGCUCAACUCCAGAACUGCCUUUGAUACUGAAGAUCUUGAGUUCGGGAGAGGUGAGUGGAACUGCGAGUGUAGAGGUGAAAUUCGUAGAUAUUCGCAAGAACACCAGUGGCGAAGGCGGCUCACUGGCCCGAUACUGACGCUGAGGCACGAAAGCGUGGGGAGCAAACAGG
This 253-nucleotide ribosomal RNA is filed under the name uncultured bacterium. Its description in RNAcentral is "partial 16S ribosomal RNA". It matches the Rfam family "Bacterial small subunit ribosomal RNA", at positions 524 to 776 of the family's 1533-position model. The record is from RNAcentral.